This 253-nucleotide ribosomal RNA is filed under the name uncultured bacterium. Its description in RNAcentral is "partial 16S ribosomal RNA". It matches the Rfam family "Bacterial small subunit ribosomal RNA", at positions 524 to 776 of the family's 1533-position model. The record is from RNAcentral.
UACGGGGGGGGCAAGCGUUGUUCGGAAUUACUGGGCGUAAAGGGCUCGUAGGCGGCCAACUAAGUCAGACGUGAAAUCCCUCGGCUUAACCGGGGAACUGCGUCUGAUACUGGAUGGCUUGAGUUUGGGAGAGGGAUGCGGAAUUCCAGGUGUAGCGGUGAAAUGCGUAGAUAUCGAGAGGAACACCGGUGGCGAAGGCGGCGAUCUGGACGAUGACUGACGCUGAGACGCGAAAGCGUGGGGAGCAAACAGG